RNAcentral lists this long non-coding RNA (271 nucleotides) under Mytilus galloprovincialis (Mediterranean mussel). The record is from RNAcentral. Lineage: Eukaryota; Metazoa; Mollusca; Bivalvia; Mytilida; Mytilidae.
UAUCUUUGGAAUAAAAGUAUAUGGGUUGAUGGAAAUCAGUAAAAUUAGGUAAUAAGUAAAAUCCGCCAUUUUGAUAAUUAAAUAAAUAAGUAAACUGUCUUACCUUGCUAGAAUCUACGAGAUUCAUUUUGUAUGUUGACGUUGUAGGGAUAUCCUAUAGCAAUCAAAUCAUGCGAGUGAUGACGUCAUAACAAUAACACGCAUGCGAGACAUUUAGGAUUUCCGGAAGCCCACGAACUUAUGUAUCCACGAAAUUAUGUGACUAGACUGU